GCCGGUGUGGUGAAAUGGUAGACGCGCUAGACUCAAAAUCUUGUUCCGAAAGGAGUGUCGGUUCGAGUCCGACCACCGGCACCA
Molecule: transfer RNA, 84 nt
Filed under: Prosthecobacter fusiformis
Lineage: Bacteria; Pseudomonadati; Verrucomicrobiota; Verrucomicrobiia; Verrucomicrobiales; Verrucomicrobiaceae
Also listed under: 5 other names
Description: tRNA-Leu
Rfam family: tRNA
About the family: Transfer RNA (tRNA) molecules are approximately 80 nucleotides in length. Their secondary structure includes four short double-helical elements and three loops (D, anti-codon, and T loops). Further hydrogen bonds mediate the characteristic L-shaped molecular structure. tRNAs have two regions of fundamental functional importance: the anti-codon, which is responsible for specific mRNA codon recognition, and the 3' end, to which the tRNAs corresponding amino acid is attached (by aminoacyl-tRNA synthetases). tRNAs cope with the degeneracy of the genetic code in two manners: having more than one tRNA (with a specific anti-codon) for a particular amino acid; and 'wobble' base-pairing, i.e. permitting non-standard base-pairing at the 3rd anti-codon position.
Source: RNAcentral